GAUGAACGCUAGCGGCAGGCUUAAUACAUGCAAGUCGAGGGGCAGCGCAGUGUAGCAAUACAUGGGCGGCGACCGGCAAACGGGUGCGGAACACGUACAGAACCUUCCUUUAAGUGGGGAAUAGCCCAGAGAAAUUUGGAUUAAUACCCCGUAACAUUAUGAAGUGGCAUCACUUUAUAAUUAUAGACUUAUCGCUUAAA
RNAcentral lists this ribosomal RNA (200 nucleotides) under uncultured bacterium. RNAcentral's name for it is "partial 16S ribosomal RNA". It matches the Rfam family "Bacterial small subunit ribosomal RNA", at positions 28 to 223 of the family's 1533-position model. The record is from RNAcentral.